This 446-nucleotide ribosomal RNA is filed under the name uncultured bacterium. RNAcentral's name for it is "partial 16S ribosomal RNA". It matches the Rfam family "Bacterial small subunit ribosomal RNA", at positions 330 to 792 of the family's 1533-position model. The record is from RNAcentral.
UCCAGACUCCUACGGGAGGCAGCAGUGGGGGAUAUUGCACAAUGGGGGGAACCCUGAUGCAGCGACGCCGCGUGGGUGAAGGAGUAUUUCGGUAUGUAAAGCCCUAUCGGCAGGGAAGAAGAAAGACGGUACCUGACUAAGAAGCCCCGGCUAACUACGUGCCAGCAGCCGCGGUAAUACGUAGGGGGCGAGCGUUAUCCGGAUUCACUGGGUGUAAAGGGAGCGUAGACGGCCAAGCAAGCCAGGGGUGAAAGCCCGGGGCCCAACCCCGGGACUGCCCUUGGAACUGCAUGGCUGGAGUGCGGGAGGGGCAGGCGGAAUUCCUAGUGUAGCGGUGAAAUGCGUAGAUAUUAGGAGGAACACCAGUGGCGAAGGCGGCCUGCUGGACGAUGACUGACGUUGAGGCUCGAAAGCGUGGGGAGCAAACAGGAUUAGAUACCCCCGUA